AAGUCGUAACAAGGUCUCCGUAGGUGAACCUGCGGAGGGAUCAUUACCGAGUGAGCGCCUCCGGGCGCGACCUCCAACCCUUUGUGAACCAAACCUCUGUUGCCUCGGGGUGACCCGGCCCCGCCCGGCCCCCGGAGGACAAUUCGAUAAAACUCUGCAUCUUUGCGUCGGAUAUCAAAAGAAAUUGAUUAAAACUUUCAACAACGGAUCUCUUGGUUCUG
RNAcentral lists this unclassified non-coding RNA (221 nucleotides) under fungal sp. Its description in RNAcentral is "partial internal transcribed spacer region". The stretch from base 1 to 46 matches the Rfam family "Eukaryotic small subunit ribosomal RNA", at positions 1786 to 1831 of the family's 1831-position model. The record is from RNAcentral. Lineage: Eukaryota; Fungi.